Molecule: ribosomal RNA, 253 nt
Filed under: uncultured bacterium
Lineage: Bacteria
Description: partial 16S ribosomal RNA
Rfam family: Bacterial small subunit ribosomal RNA
Source: RNAcentral
GACAGAGGGGGCAAGCGUUGCUCGGAAUCACUGGGCGUAAAGGGCGCGUAGGCGGGAUGGCAAGUCAGUCGUGAAAUCUCUCGGCUCAACCGAGAAACGUCGGCUGAUACUGCCGUUCUUGAGGGAUGCAGAGGAGACUGGAAUUCCCGGUGUAGCGGUGAAAUGCGCAGAUAUCAGGAGGAACACCGGUGGCGAAGGCGGUUCUCUGGGCAUGUCCUGACGCUGAGGAGCGAAAGUGUGGGGAGCGAACAGG